CUUCCAUCCCAUCUUAUAAGAUUUAAACUCAAAUCAUAACUCUCUAUCCCAUUUACCUUCGUAUGUGUCUGGCAUGGUUUAACACCCCUCUAUGUCCCAGGGGAUAUAAUAUUGUGAUGGACAAUGUUCCAGUUCAGAUCAUGGAUGGUUCAUUCCAGGACAUGUUGGAGGAAUUCCCUGCUAUUCAAUGUUUGCUUAACCAACUUUCACUGAUCGUCGACGAAAUUGAGAAAUGCUUCCUGAUUUCUUCUCUACAUAACUUUCUAGAAUGGAAGCAUUCUGAACCUUUUAUGUCAUUAAAGAGACGACUCUCACUGUCAUCCCACUUGAGUGGUGUUACCACAGUCCAAGGAGAGUGGGAAUUGGAAAUGCAGCUCUGCAAGACGUAUAAUGGAACAUGCUACCUUUUUUUUUUUAGUACUUAGU
Telopea speciosissima is the source of this 426-nucleotide long non-coding RNA. RefSeq lists it as uncharacterized. The record is from RefSeq and is a predicted model, not a curated record. The transcript is spliced from 3 exons. Lineage: Eukaryota; Viridiplantae; Streptophyta; Magnoliopsida; Proteales; Proteaceae.